Molecule: small nuclear RNA, 23 nt
Filed under: Arabidopsis thaliana (thale cress)
Lineage: Eukaryota; Viridiplantae; Streptophyta; Magnoliopsida; Brassicales; Brassicaceae
Description: snRNA_09239
Source: RNAcentral
UUUAAAUUUAUAAUGACCAUUUU